AUGUCCCACGCGUACCCUCCGGUGCUGAGUGCACCGUCCACACCGACCUGACGACUGCUAGCCACGUUUGGUGAGCC
Molecule: small RNA, 77 nt
Filed under: Xanthomonas dyei
Lineage: Bacteria; Pseudomonadati; Pseudomonadota; Gammaproteobacteria; Lysobacterales; Lysobacteraceae
Description: sX9 sRNA
Rfam family: Xanthomonas sRNA sX9
Source: RNAcentral